AACGAACGCUGGCGGCAUGCCUAACACAUGCAAGUCGAACGAGACCUUCGGGUCUAGUGGCGCACGGGUGCGUGCCGCGGGGGAACCUGCCCUUAGGUUCGGAAUAACUCCCCGAAAGGUGUGCUAAUACCGGAUAAUGUCUUCGGACCAAAGAUUUCUCGCCUUUGGAUGGGCCCGCGUUGGAUUAGCUAGUUGGUAGGGUAAAAGCAUACCAAGGCGACGAUCCAUGGCUGGUCUGAGAGGAUGAUCAGCCACACUGGGACUGAGACACGGCCCAGACUCCGACGGAAGGGAGCAGUGGGGAAUAUUGGACGAUGGACGAAAGUGUGGUAAAGCAAUGCGGGGUAAGAGAUGAAGGCCUUAGGGUUGUAAAGCUCUUUUACCCGAGAUGAUAAUGACAGUACCGGGAGAAUAAGCUCCGGCUAACUCCGUG
Molecule: ribosomal RNA, 433 nt
Filed under: uncultured bacterium
Lineage: Bacteria
Description: partial 16S ribosomal RNA
Rfam family: Bacterial small subunit ribosomal RNA
Source: RNAcentral